Long non-coding RNA from Pongo pygmaeus (Bornean orangutan), 1583 nucleotides. RefSeq lists it as uncharacterized. The transcript is spliced from 2 exons. The record is from RefSeq and is a predicted model, not a curated record. NCBI's taxonomy places the organism in Eukaryota, Metazoa, Chordata, Mammalia, Primates, Hominidae.
ACCACCCGGUGGCAGCCAUUAAUCCCCCUCCUGGCGGCGCGGGCUGGCCCGGCCGCCUGCCUCCUCCUCCCCCGGGCCCGGAUGAGAUCACCGCGUCGGGCGGCCGGCUGUCCCCGCGCUCCCAACAAAUCGACUCCUCGGCGAGCGCCGGCAUCUCAUGAUCUCAUGGCCCCGCGGGACGGCGCCGGCCGAUGAGGUCACAGCCCCGCGCCCCGGGCCGCCCCGCAGGCUCCGGGUCUGGCCUCCGGGCGUCCCGCGCCGGUACCAGGCCCCCCAGUCUGAGGCUCUUAGCCCUUCGCGGACGAAGGAGGUCUCAGUUUGCGAAGGGCAAGGCUGCCUUUUCCAUCCUUUUGACGCAUCUUUGCGCGUCCACUCCCCGCUCUCUUAUUUGAACAUUUCACCCCGAAGACCCCUUGUCCAGCAGGGAGUGACCUCAUCAGCUCCCCUAAACUUGAAGUCAGGGGCCAUGCGACGCGGCUUGCCUGCAGGAUUUCACAGCCGCUGAGUGAAGGAAGUUGUGGAGCUGUGUCUUACAGACGAAGAAACGGGAUCAGAGGGAUAAAGGAAUCUGCCCCAGGUUACCCACCUAGGGAAGGGUGACGCAGGAACCCGGACCGCCAUGAUGUGAAUGAGCCCUUUGACAGCCUUUUUCUUCUCCUUACCUGUACCCCAAACCUCUGCACCUUUACCCCAGUUCCUCCUUGCUCUGGUGGAAACAGUGGUAACGGCCCCACUGGCGGCGUGCCCCCGCAAUGCUGGGUCCUGUUCCACAUGACAGACCACUGUAGAGGAGUUAUACGGACCAUUUUACAGAUGAGAACACAAGGCUCGGAGAGGUCAAGUUACUUGCUGCAGAACUGGGACUUGUACCCAGGGUCGCCAUCAAACCCAGUUGAAGAGGGUCCAGUGAGAGCCUAUUAGAGGCUUCACAACUCACUUGCCAGCAGCAGAUUUCUCCCAUCACUUAGAGACUGCUCACUCACACCACUCCUCAGAAGAUCUCCAGCAACAUACACAGCCAGGAACGACAGGAAGGAAGGGACAUAACAUUUACUGAACGGCAGUGCUGAACGAGGCACUGAGCCAGGGCCUGUUACUAAGGGCAAAGCUGGGAGGGAUAUUAUCAGCCCAGGUUUGCAGACGAAAAAGCGGGUGUUUUUUUUUUUGAGAUAGGGCCUCACUCUGUCACCCAGGCUGGAGUGCAGUGGUGCGAUCUCAGCUUACUGCAGCCUUGACUUCCUGGGCUCAAGCGAGCCUCCCCUCUCAGCCCCAUGAGUAGCUGGGACCACAGGUGUGUGCCACCAUGCCCCAGAUAAUUUUUUACAGACUUUUUUUUUGUAGAGAUGGGGUCUCCCUGUGUUGCCCAGGCUGGUAAAUUUUUUUUAAAACCAAAGUCAGAUGUCAAGGAAGUACAAGUUUCAGCUCAAAUGUCCAUCCCACAGAGAAAGCCCUUUCCCAUUUCCCUAAACGAAUUCUCCAUGAAUUGUUUUUAUUUGUUUCUAGUGCUUGUUGAAACUUGAAGUUCUGUAUUUGCGUGUUGAUAUAGUUUAAUGGUGAUUUCCCCAAUGAAAUGAGAGCAGGGA